UUCUGUGAUGAUUUUUUACAUUCACACUGUAUAAGAAUGCAGUUUCAGUACUGCAUUUCAAUGAAUACACACACAAAAAAACUGAUUUAAUGACUCUGAUA
Molecule: small nucleolar RNA, 101 nt
Filed under: Eremothecium cymbalariae DBVPG#7215
Lineage: Eukaryota; Fungi; Ascomycota; Saccharomycetes; Saccharomycetales; Saccharomycetaceae
Source: RNAcentral